Molecule: ribosomal RNA, 1726 nt
Filed under: Vibrio parahaemolyticus S013
Lineage: Bacteria; Pseudomonadati; Pseudomonadota; Gammaproteobacteria; Vibrionales; Vibrionaceae
Description: bacterial LSU rRNA
Rfam family: Bacterial large subunit ribosomal RNA
Source: RNAcentral
CAUUGGGUAGGGGAGCGUUCUGUAAGCGGUUGAAGGUGUGUGGUAACGCAUGCUGGACGUAUCAGAAGUGCGAAUGCUGACAUGAGUAACGAUAAAGGGGGUGAAAAACCUCCUCGCCGGAAGACCAAGGGUUCCUGUCCAACGUUAAUCGGGGCAGGGUAAGUCGACCCCUAAGGCGAGGCCGAAAGGCGUAGUCGAUGGGAAACGGGUUAAUAUUCCCGUACUUCUUACAAUUGCGAUGGGGGGACGGAGAAGGCUAGGUGGGCCUGGCGACGGUUGUCCAGGUUCAAGUGCGUAGGCUUGAGAGUUAGGUAAAUCCGGCUCUUUUUAAGGCUGAGACACGACGUCGAGCCACUACGGUGGUGAAGUCAUUGAUGCCAUGCUUCCAGGAAAAGCCUCUAAGCUUCAGAUUGUAAGGAAUCGUACCCCAAACCGACACAGGUGGUCGGGUAGAGAAUACCAAGGCGCUUGAGAGAACUCGGGUGAAGGAACUAGGCAAAAUGGUACCGUAACUUCGGGAGAAGGUACGCUCUCGACGGUGAAGUCCCUCGCGGAUGGAGCUAUUGAGAGUCGCAGAUACCAGGUGGCUGCAACUGUUUAUUAAAAACACAGCACUGUGCAAAAUCGUAAGAUGACGUAUACGGUGUGACGCCUGCCCGGUGCCGGAAGGUUAAUUGAUGGGGUUAGACUUCGGUCGAAGCUCUUGAUCGAAGCCCCGGUAAACGGCGGCCGUAACUAUAACGGUCCUAAGGUAGCGAAAUUCCUUGUCGGGUAAGUUCCGACCUGCACGAAUGGCGUAAUGAUGGCCACGCUGUCUCCACCCGAGACUCAGUGAAAUUGAAAUCGCUGUGAAGAUGCAGUGUACCCGCGGCUAGACGGAAAGACCCCGUGAACCUUUACUACAGCUUGGCACUGAACAUUGACCCUACAUGUGUAGGAUAGGUGGGAGGCUUUGAAGCACGUACGCCAGUAUGUGUGGAGCCGUCCUUGAAAUACCACCCUUGUAGUGUUGAUGUUCUAACGUCGACCCCUUAUCGGGGUUGCGGACAGUGCCUGGUGGGUAGUUUGACUGGGGCGGUCUCCUCCCAAAGAGUAACGGAGGAGCACGAAGGUGGGCUAAUCACGGUUGGACAUCGUGAGGUUAGUGCAAUGGCAUAAGCCCGCUUGACUGCGAGAAUGACAAUUCGAGCAGGUGCGAAAGCAGGUCAUAGUGAUCCGGUGGUUCUGAAUGGAAGGGCCAUCGCUCAACGGAUAAAAGGUACUCCGGGGAUAACAGGCUGAUACCGCCCAAGAGUUCAUAUCGACGGCGGUGUUUGGCACCUCGAUGUCGGCUCAUCACAUCCUGGGGCUGAAGUCGGUCCCAAGGGUAUGGCUGUUCGCCAUUUAAAGUGGUACGCGAGCUGGGUUUAGAACGUCGUGAGACAGUUCGGUCCCUAUCUGCCGUGGGCGUUGGAAGAUUGAAGGGGGCUGCUCCUAGUACGAGAGGACCGGAGUGGACGAACCUCUGGUGUUCGGGUUGUGUCGCCAGACGCAUUGCCCGGUAGCUAAGUUCGGAAUCGAUAACCGCUGAAAGCAUCUAAGCGGGAAGCGAGCCCUGAGAUGAGUCUUCCCUGAUACUUUAAGUAUCCUAAAGGGUUGUCGGAGACUACGACGUUGAUAGGUCAGGUGUGUAAGUGCUGUGAGGCAUUGAGCUAACUGAUACUAAUUGCCCGUGAGGCUUAACCAU